UAAGAUUCGGGGAUACCCCGGGAACUGGGGAUAAUACCGGAUAGAUCAUCUGUGCUGGAAGGCUGGGUGGUUGAAACUUCCGGGGCUUUUGGAUGGGUCUGCGGCUGAUUAGGUUGUUGCCGGUGUAACGUACCGUCAAGCCUGUAAUCAGUACGGGUUGUGGGAGCAAGAGCCCGGAGAUGGAUUCUGAGACACGAAUCCAGGCCCUACGGGGCGCAGCAGGCGCGAAAACUCUACAAUGCAGGCAACUGCGAUAGGGGAACAUCGAGUGAUCCUCAUAUUGGGGGUCUGUCCACCCGUCUAAAAAACGGGUGUUAGCAAGGGCCGGGCAAGACCGGUGCCAGCCGCCGCGGUAAUACCGGCGGCUCGAGUGGUGGCCGAUAUUAUUGAGUCUAAAGGGUCCGUAGCCGGCUUUGCAAGUCUCUCGGGAAAUCCAGCGGCUUAACCGUUGGUCGUCCGGGGGGUACUACAUUGCUUGGGACUGGGAGAGGUAGGAGGUACUCAGGGGGUAGGAGUGAAAUCCUGUAAUCCUUUGGGGACCACCGGUGGCGAAGGCGUCCUACCAGAACAGGUCCGACGGUGAGGGACGAAAGCUAGGGGCACGAACCGGAUUAGAUACCCGGGUAGUCCUAGCCGUAAACGAUGCUCGCUAGGUGUCACAACAGUCGUGAAUUGUUGUGGUGCCGUAGGGAAGCCGUGAAGCGAGCCACUUGGGAAGUACGACCGCAAGGUUGAAACUUAAAGGAAUUGGCGGGGGAGCAC
RNAcentral lists this ribosomal RNA (762 nucleotides) under uncultured archaeon. Its description in RNAcentral is "bacterial SSU rRNA". It matches the Rfam family "Archaeal small subunit ribosomal RNA", at positions 115 to 879 of the family's 1478-position model. The record is from RNAcentral.